This 253-nucleotide ribosomal RNA is filed under the name uncultured bacterium. Its description in RNAcentral is "partial 16S ribosomal RNA". It matches the Rfam family "Bacterial small subunit ribosomal RNA", at positions 524 to 776 of the family's 1533-position model. The record is from RNAcentral.
UACGUAGGGGGCAAGCGUUGUCCGGACUCAUUGGGCGUAACGAGCGUGUAGGCGGCUCGAUAAGUCCGUUCUGAAAGUCCAGGGCUCAACCCUGGGAUGCGGAGGGAUACUGUCGGGCUCGAGUCCGGAAGAGGCGAGUGGAAUUCCCGGUGUAGCGGUGAAAUGCGCAGAUAUCGGGAGGAACACCAAUGGCGAAGGCAGCUCGCUGGGACGUGACUGACGCUGAGACGCGAAAGCGGGGGGAGCAAACAGG